This 521-nucleotide ribosomal RNA is filed under the name uncultured bacterium. RNAcentral describes it as "partial 16S ribosomal RNA". It matches the Rfam family "Bacterial small subunit ribosomal RNA", at positions 28 to 526 of the family's 1533-position model. The record is from RNAcentral.
GACGAACGCUGGCGGCGUGCCUAAUACAUGCAAGUCGAGCGGGCCUCCGGAGGUGCUUGCACCUCCGGAAGGCCAGCGGCGGACGGGUGAGUAACACGUGGGCAACCUGCCUUUGAGGCCGGGAUAACACCGGGAAACCGGUGCUAAUACCGGAUGCGUCCCCUUUCGCGCCUGCGAGAGGGGAGAAAGACGGUCUUUAAGGCCGUCGCUCAAAGAGGGGCCCGCGGCGCAUUAGCUGGUUGGUGGGGUAAGGGCCUACCAAGGCGACGAUGCGUUGCCGACCUGAGAGGGUGAUCGGCCACACUGGGACUGAGACACGGCCCAGACUCCUGCGGGAGGCAGCAGUAGGGAAUCAUCCGCAAUGGGCGAAAGCCUGACGGUGCAACGCCGCGUGAGUGAGGAAGGUUUUCGGAUCGUAAAGCUCUGUUGUGAGGGAAGAACAGCUUCCGGAGGAAAUGCCGGAGGUUUGCCGGUACCUCACCAGAAAGCCCCGGCUAACUACGUGCCAGCCGCCGUAAGAC